Molecule: ribosomal RNA, 492 nt
Filed under: uncultured bacterium
Lineage: Bacteria
Description: partial 16S ribosomal RNA
Rfam family: Bacterial small subunit ribosomal RNA
Source: RNAcentral
AGUGAACGCUGGCGGUAGGCCUAACACAUGCAAGUCGAACGGCAGCACAGUAAGAGCUUGCUCUUACGGGUGGCGAGUGGCGGACGGGUGAGGAAUACACCGGAAUCUACUUUUUCGUGGGGGAUAACGUAGGGAAACUUACGCUAAUACCGCAUACGACCUACGGGUGAGAGCAGGGGAUCUUCGGACCUUGCGCGAUUGAAUGAGCCGAUGUCGGAUUAGCUAGUUGGCGGGGUAAAGGCCCACCAAGGCGACGAUCCGUAGCUGGUCUGAGAGGAUGAUCAGCCACACUGGAACUGAGACACGGUCCAGACUCCUACGGGAGGCAGCAGUGGGGAAUAUUGGACAAUGGGCGCAAGCCUGAUCCAGCCAUACCGCGUGGGUGAAGAAGGCCUUCGGGUUGUAAAGCCCUUUUGUUAGGGAAGAAAAGCAGAAGGUUAAUACCCCGCUGUUCUGACGGUACCCAAAGAAUAAGCACCGGCUAACUUCGUG